AGGGAAUAUUGGACAAUGGGCGCAAGCCUGAUCCAGCCAUGCCGCGUGAGUGAAGAAGGCCCUCGGGUUGUAAAGCUCUUUUGUCCGGAAAGAAAAGCGCCGGGUUAAUACCCUGGUGUCCUGACGGUACCGGAAGAAUAAGCACCGGCUAACUUCGUGCCAGUAGCCGCGGUAAUACGAAGGGUGCAAGCGUUACUCGGAAUUACUGGGCGUAAAGCGUGCGUAGGUGGUUUGUUAUGUCUGAUGUGAAAGCCCUGGCUCAACCUGGUAAUUGCAUUGGAUACUGGCAGGCUAGAGCGUGGUAGAGGGUAGUGGAAUUCCCGGUGUAGCAGUGAAAUGCGUAGAGAUCGGGAGGAGCAUCUGUGGCGAAGGCGACUACCUGGACCAGCACUGACACUGAGGCACGAAAGCGUGGGGAGCAAAC
This 424-nucleotide ribosomal RNA is filed under the name uncultured bacterium. RNAcentral describes it as "bacterial SSU rRNA". It matches the Rfam family "Bacterial small subunit ribosomal RNA", at positions 356 to 773 of the family's 1533-position model. The record is from RNAcentral.